AUGUUUAGGAAAAUGUACCAAGGUGGCCCUUCAAGGAAGCAAGGACCCAGGCUCGCAAUGCGCGAUGCCGACGAUGAACCACCAAGGGAAGCUCAAGUGCGGGCUUGUGAAUGGCCUUCAGAGGACUUCAUGGAUCGAGCAGGAAUCAAGGAAGAAUUUAACGCAUAUGUGCGUAACGCUGAUCUUGUGAGCUUCGAGGCAGAUAAGUGCCGUCAGUACUACUAUCUCACUGAUUCCUUUGUGAGGAGGUUUGAAUUUUCAUCAUCACGCAAUUCUCAAACUGUCCUGUUUGAUCUUUAUGAAAAUUCUUAUACUAUGGACUUAAAGGAUUUUAAUACUGCUUGCAAGCUUCCACAAUGGGGUAGUCCUAGUGAACCUCGCAAAUCUGAAUUUAGAGAUUUUCUUGCUAGUAUAACUGUGGGGGAGUCUAGAGAUAUAACACAAGCUACCAUAGGGAGCAUUCAUUUCCCUGCUAUACAUUAUUUUGCUCUCUUCAUAGGUAGGUGCAUAAAUAGUAAGGAUGAAGCAUGCCGCAUGUGUGUCCCUGACCUUAGUGUUCUCAGGAGUGCUGUAUUAGGAGAUAAACAUUAUAAUUUGGGAGCCAUUGUUGCACGUAGGUUGCAUAAUAAUAGAAUUAAUGGAGAUUUCUUCGGCGGAAUUUAUGCAACCCGUCUAGCUAAUUUUCUUGGAAUACCCAUACGUGAGUAUGAUGUUGAGUUGCCUCCUGUUUAUUUAGAUUAUGAGGCUAUGGUUCGUCAUCAAUUUGUUGAGAGGAAAGAUCAGUUCCUCUAG
RNAcentral lists this ribosomal RNA (792 nucleotides) under Triticum aestivum (bread wheat). Its description in RNAcentral is "partial small subunit ribosomal RNA". The record is from RNAcentral. Lineage: Eukaryota; Viridiplantae; Streptophyta; Magnoliopsida; Poales; Poaceae.